Molecule: ribosomal RNA, 398 nt
Filed under: uncultured bacterium
Lineage: Bacteria
Description: bacterial SSU rRNA
Rfam family: Bacterial small subunit ribosomal RNA
Source: RNAcentral
UAUUGCGCAAUGGGCGAAAGCCUGACGCAGCAACGCCGCGUGGAUGAUGAAGGCCUUCGGGUUGUAAAAUCCUUUUCUGGGGGAAGAAACGGACGGUACCCCAGGAAUAAGUGUCGGCUAACUACGUGCCAGCAGCCGCGGUAAAACGUAGGACGCGAGCGUUAUCCGGAUUUACUGGGCGUAAAGCGCGUGCAGGCGGCUUGUUAAGUCGUGCGUGAAAGCUCCCUGGCUCAACCGGGAGAGGUCGUACGAAACUAGCAGGCUUGAGGGCAGCAGAGGAGUGUGGAAUUCCGGGUGUAGUGGUGAAAUGCGUAGAUAUCCGGAGGAACACCAGUGGCGAAGGCGGCACUCUGGGCUGUACCUGACGCUAAGACGCGAAAGCAUGGGUAGCGAACGGG